RNAcentral lists this small nuclear RNA (163 nucleotides) under Dasypus novemcinctus (nine-banded armadillo). Its description in RNAcentral is "U1 spliceosomal RNA (ENSDNOG00000034260.1)". It matches the Rfam family "U1 spliceosomal RNA". Rfam says of the family: U1 is a small nuclear RNA (snRNA) component of the spliceosome (involved in pre-mRNA splicing). Its 5' end forms complementary base pairs with the 5' splice junction, thus defining the 5' donor site of an intron. Lineage: Eukaryota; Metazoa; Chordata; Mammalia; Cingulata; Dasypodidae. The record is from RNAcentral.
AUACUUACCUGGUAGGGGAGAUACCAUAACCAUGAAGGUGGUGUUCCCAGGACAAGACUUGUUCACUAUACUCCAGUUGUGCUGGCCCCUGUGAUUGCCCCAAAUGUGGGAAACUGAAUUGCAUAAUUUGUGGUAGUGGGAGACCUCUGUUUGCACUUUCCAC